GGAGCUGAAGGUCAUCUUGCUUUGACAUCGUUUGCUGAGGUUAUUUCUGUUGAUUUACCCUUGUGGGUGUCGCUUCCUCCCUCACUGCACUGAGUCUGCCAGGUCCAAAGUUACACGUUGAGUUGAAGUUGAACAGGACUAUCUUCCAAGAUACAGGAGCACUCUCCUGGUGCCAAGGGUAUAGUGAUUGCUCUGUUCCCCACUAGAAUCUCUAAGAAAACUCUCAAGAAUACUGAAGUGACAGAGGAAUAGAAGGAGUGUCCUGGUCACAUAGAUACUAUAUAACAAGAGUCACAGAGAGUCUUUUCAGUA
Molecule: small nuclear RNA, 312 nt
Filed under: Nannospalax galili (Upper Galilee mountains blind mole rat)
Lineage: Eukaryota; Metazoa; Chordata; Mammalia; Rodentia; Spalacidae
Description: 7SK RNA (ENSNGAG00000003401.1)
Source: RNAcentral